AAAAACCCUGUAUACCCCUUUAAACAAUACAUAAACAACUACCUUAAUAUCUCGGCCAAAACAAAAGAAACAAAGGCAGCAGAAAUGAUAGAAAGAAACUUGCAGAAAAGCUUAUUGAGCAUCCAUCCUGCAAAAGCAAACGACUGCUAGCAUUCUGAUGUGUUCUUUCUUUAUCUUCGGACUGCAGCUGCAGCUUCCUGCUUCAUACUUUGAGUCCUACCAGUCCUUAAACUUCACCUACACAUUCACCUUGCCAGUCUCCACACACACCAUAAAGUUGCGUACAACAGAACUUGCAAUACUGCUUGUACCACCCUGCUGCUGUUCAAAUUAGGCCAUAACUCUAGGGCCCCCUUCACCUCAGACUGAGCCAGCACCCCUUGUACCCUCUGCUCAUGACAAGUAAGAACUUGCCACACCCUUCUGAUC
This 429-nucleotide long non-coding RNA is filed under the name Aquilegia coerulea. Its description in RNAcentral is "long non-coding RNA (ACOE_LNC000791)". The record is from RNAcentral. Lineage: Eukaryota; Viridiplantae; Streptophyta; Magnoliopsida; Ranunculales; Ranunculaceae.